Zingiber officinale is the source of this 291-nucleotide long non-coding RNA. RefSeq lists it as uncharacterized. The record is from RefSeq and is a predicted model, not a curated record. NCBI's taxonomy places the organism in Eukaryota, Viridiplantae, Streptophyta, Magnoliopsida, Zingiberales, Zingiberaceae. The transcript is spliced from 3 exons.
GAAACUCGAACUAGUUUACGGAUAAAGAAAUUUCUCGAGAAGAAUCAGACUUCUCGACUUUUGCUACUACUAUUUACGCUAUUAGGGACAAGUAUGGUCAUUGGCGAUGGUUGUUUGACCCCGACAAUCUCAGUUGUUUCAGCAGUUUCUGGACUCAGAAUUAAGCUUCCAGGUCUUCAUGAAGAUUGAGGUGUCUUCUAGUGAUCAACCCUCGUCCAGUCGAUCAAUUCGACGCUUCGAGCCAACCAGUCAAUUGGAGGACAAACUAGAAUGCGUGCACAGGAAGGUCUU